RNAcentral lists this ribosomal RNA (252 nucleotides) under uncultured bacterium. RNAcentral's name for it is "partial 16S ribosomal RNA". It matches the Rfam family "Bacterial small subunit ribosomal RNA", at positions 524 to 776 of the family's 1533-position model. The record is from RNAcentral.
UACGUAGGGUGCAAGCGUUAUCCGGAAUUAUUGGGCGUAAAGAGCUCGUAGGCGGUUUGUCGCGUCUGCUGUGAAAACUGGAGGCUCAACCUCCAGCCUGCAGUGGGUACGGGCAGACUAGAGUGCGGUAGGGGAGAUUGGAAUUCCUGGUGUAGCGGUGGAAUGCGCAGAUAUCAGGAGGAACACCGAUGGCGAAGGCAGAUCUCUGGCCGUAACUGGACGCUGAGGAGCGAAAGCAUGGGAGCGAACAGG